RNAcentral lists this small RNA (28 nucleotides) under Bombyx mori (domestic silkworm). RNAcentral's name for it is "ovarian small RNA-33745". The record is from RNAcentral. Lineage: Eukaryota; Metazoa; Arthropoda; Insecta; Lepidoptera; Bombycidae.
UGCCCGGGAGUGCCACGUUUAUGGGGUC